GGUGGCCAAAAAGUUCGUUCAGGUUUUCCUGUAAUGUGGAAAAACCCUAACGAACCUUUUGGCAAAC
This 67-nucleotide microRNA precursor is filed under the name Tursiops truncatus (common bottlenose dolphin). RNAcentral describes it as "miRNA (ENSTTRG00000025339.1)". The record is from RNAcentral. Lineage: Eukaryota; Metazoa; Chordata; Mammalia; Artiodactyla; Delphinidae.